GGGUCAAUGAUGAGGACUUUGUAUUUCCUUGAGGAGCAGAGAUGACUUAAAUAUCAUGUACAAUGGCAUGACGCUGAGGCCC
This 82-nucleotide small nucleolar RNA is filed under the name Carlito syrichta (Philippine tarsier). RNAcentral describes it as "Small nucleolar RNA SNORD115 (ENSTSYG00000026039.1)". It matches the Rfam family "Small nucleolar RNA SNORD115". From Rfam's summary of the family: HBII-52 is a member of the C/D class of snoRNAs, which contain the C (UGAUGA) and D (CUGA) box motifs. HBII-52 is encoded in a tandemly repeated array with another C/D snoRNA, HBII-85, in the Prader-Willi syndrome (PWS) region of chromosome 15. HBII-52 is exclusively expressed in the brain but is absent in PWS patients. The record is from Rfam by way of RNAcentral. Lineage: Eukaryota; Metazoa; Chordata; Mammalia; Primates; Tarsiidae.